CCCCUAGAUGUUCUGGGCCGCACGCGCGCUACACUGAACAGUCCAACAAGUCUUAACCUUGGCCGAUAGGUCUGGGUAAUCUUUGAACGCUGUUCGUGAUUGGGAUAGACCUUUGCAAUUAUGGGUCUUCAACGAGGAAUUCCUAGUAAACGCAAGUCAUCAGCUUGCAUUGAUUACGUCCCUGCCCUUUGUACACACCGCCCGUCGCUCCUACCGAUUGAGUGGUCCGGUGAAAUCUUCGGAUUGCUGAUCAAAUUCCAGCAAUGGAGCUUGAUUGCGAGAAGUUGACUAAACCUUAUUAUUUAGAGGAAGGAGAAGUCGUANCA
RNAcentral lists this ribosomal RNA (326 nucleotides) under uncultured eukaryote. Its description in RNAcentral is "partial 18S ribosomal RNA". It matches the Rfam family "Eukaryotic small subunit ribosomal RNA", at positions 1470 to 1796 of the family's 1831-position model. The record is from RNAcentral.